AUACGGAGGGUCCAAGCGUUAUCCGGAAUCAUUGGGUUUAAAGGGUCCGCAGGCGGUCAAUUAAGUCAGAGGUGAAAGCCCAUCGCUCAACGAUGGAACUGCCUUUGAUACUGGUUGACUUGAGUUAUACGGAAGUAGAUAGAAUAAGUAGUGUAGCAGUGAAAUGCAUAGAUAUUACUUAGAAUACCGAUUGCGAAGGCAGUCUACUACGUAUAUACUGACGCUGAGGGACGAAAGCGUGGGGAGCGAACAGGAUUAGAAACCCUAGUAGUCC
RNAcentral lists this ribosomal RNA (274 nucleotides) under uncultured bacterium. RNAcentral describes it as "partial 16S ribosomal RNA". It matches the Rfam family "Bacterial small subunit ribosomal RNA", at positions 523 to 796 of the family's 1533-position model. The record is from RNAcentral.